Miniopterus natalensis is the source of this 840-nucleotide long non-coding RNA. RefSeq lists it as uncharacterized. The record is from RefSeq and is a predicted model, not a curated record. NCBI's taxonomy places the organism in Eukaryota, Metazoa, Chordata, Mammalia, Chiroptera, Miniopteridae.
GUCCCCGCCCCCCGCCCCGUUACUCCCGGGGCGCCGCCGGCUGCGGCUGUCCCUCCAGCACCGAGUUCCCGCCGGUGAAGACGAACCCGCAGGCCGUGAGUUGUAAGGGAUUUGCUUCUGCUCGCGGUGCGCACGGCGGGUCGAGCCUGCGCGGCGCCCGAGCCCUGAGCGUGUCGUGCAUUUUGAGGAGUAUAAUGAAGACUGCAGAGAGACAGCCAUGGAAUGAAUCUUAAAAGAUUUUAUUACUAAAAGCAAUCAAGAUUAAAAUGGUAUUCGCCACCUGGUGAAGAAGCCGCUCCUGGUUUUGGGAGAAGCAGUGGGUGUGCUGAGAUGGAAUUCGAAACUGUGAGUUUCCUUGCCAGUGUUUAGGGAGCUCUGGUGGUUCCCUUAAGUGAUCAAUUGCCUUUUUGUCAUAUUUUCAUUGCAUUCUUUCUAGUUUGAACUUUUUUUUUUUUUUUUUCCAGAAGAAGAUACUUCUUUUAUGUAGAUAGCAUGACUUUUUUCAUAUUUCUUUGCUUUUGAGAUUUAGUCUUCUGGUAGUGAUAGCAAUCGAAUGAACAAAAGUAAGAUGUUCUGAAGGUAAGUAGCCAGUAGCUAUCGAUGUUACUGAGUAGCUGGCUCUUUUGGUCAUUGGGAUGGCAGUGAGGCAGAUGGCUUUGUUAUACCAUAGGAAAAGCCUAACACUGAUGAAGAGUCUAUUGAUCCAUCCCUAAGACUGCCCCCAAACGCCCAGCCUUUAAAACCCCUGAAAAUGAAGGUCCCGACUUGGCUGUCUUCCAGGGACCAUGCCCGUGCCAUUCCCUCCCCCCUCUCCCUCCCCCACAGGCAUGUAUCCUCUAA